AUGAGCACUCAAAAUGAUAUUCUCCCUUGUUUUGCACAGAUAACGUUGGAUUCUAUUCUUGAAGAGAUUGGCGGGGAUGUUUUUAGUUUAUUGAUUAACGAGGCUUCAGAUGUGUCAGAUAAAGAACAGAUGGAUGUUGUCUUGAGAUAUGUUGACAAGCUUGGACUAAUCCUGGAACGUUUAGUUGGAGUUGUACAUGUGAAAGAAACAUCUGCAACGUGUCUCAAGUCAGCCCUUGAAAAAUUGCUUGCUGAUAUUGGAUUAAUCUUCAAACAAGUUAGAGGGCAAUGCUAUGAUGGUGCAAGCAACAUGCGCGGUGAGUUCAAUGUCUUGAAAGCCAAAAUUCUAGAAGAGAACAGGUCAGCAUAUUAUGUGCAUUGUUUUGCUCACCAACUUCAAUUGGUUAUAGUGGCAAUUUCAAAGAAGAAUGAAGAUAUUGCAGAUUUCUUUUAUAUGAUAUCUUUGUUGUUUAAUGUGGUCGGAGCUUCUUGCAAAAGAAAAUACAUGAUCAGAGAGAGUAACCGAGAAAAUGUAAAAAAAGCCAUAAGUAGUGGACGAAUUAGUACUGGUACAGGGCUAAAUCAAGACCAGUCACUUCAAAGGGCGGGAGACACUCGUUGGGGUUCUCACUAUAGAACCCUCUCAAGCUUAAUCCAGUUGUUCCCGUCAAUUGUUAGUGUCCUAAAUUAUGUAGCAAAAGAAGGCAAGAAGGAUUCCAAGAAAAGUGAAGCACGGGGCCUUCUAUCAUAUUUUGGAAUCUUUGAUUUUGUGUUCUAUUUGCACAUGAUGUUCCAUAUAUUAGGGAGUGCCAAUACUUUGUCACAUGCAUUGCAGCAAAAGGAUCAAGAUAUCUUGAAUGCCAUGUCAUGUGUGAACUCAACACGGAAUGAUCUACAACAACUAAGAGAUGAUGGAUGGGAAUCACUUCUAGAGAAGGUAUAUUCAUUCUGUGAAGAACAUGACAUUCCUAAGGUAAACAUGCAUGAUGAAUAUAUCGAUCGGCAUAAACUAAGAAAAAGAACCAAUAUUACAAACCUUCAUCAUUACCAAAUAGAGUGCCUUAAUUCUAUUAUUGAUUGGCAACUUCGAGAGUUCGAUGAUAGAUUCAAUGAAGUGAAUUCUGCAUUGCUUAUCGACAUGGCUUCUUUCAACCCAAAAAAUUCCUUCGCUGCUUUUAACUUGGAGAGUUUAUUGAAGCUAGCUGAGUUUUAUCCUGCUGAUUUCAAUUCAUCACAAUUGAUGGAUCUCGGUCAUGAACUUCGGAUUUUCAUUGACAAUGUUCGAGCGGACCAAAGAUUUGACAAUUUGGAUGGCAUUGCUGAUCUUGCUAAAGUGUUGGUGGAAACUAAAAAGUAUAUUGCUUUCCCUUUGGUGUAUCAACUUCUCAAGUUGGUGCUAAUUUUGCCAGUUGCCACAGCAUCAGUGGAGAGAUGCUUUUCAGCAAUGAAUAUCGUCAAGAGUGUUUUGCGAAACAAAAUGGGUGACGAGUUCAUGAGUGAUUGCCUGAUUUGCUAUGUGGAGAAAGACAUAUUUUCUACAAUAACGAAUGAUGAUGUUAUUGAUCUAUUUAAGAAGAUGAAAGAUCAAGAAGGGAAGUUAUAA
This 1602-nucleotide ribosomal RNA is filed under the name Triticum aestivum (bread wheat). Its description in RNAcentral is "partial small subunit ribosomal RNA". The record is from RNAcentral. Lineage: Eukaryota; Viridiplantae; Streptophyta; Magnoliopsida; Poales; Poaceae.